RNAcentral lists this ribosomal RNA (451 nucleotides) under uncultured bacterium. RNAcentral's name for it is "partial 16S ribosomal RNA". It matches the Rfam family "Bacterial small subunit ribosomal RNA", at positions 29 to 523 of the family's 1533-position model. The record is from RNAcentral.
AACGAACGCUGGCGGCAGGCUUAACACAUGCAAGUCGAACGGGUGUAGCAAUACAUCAGUGGCAGACGGGUGAGUAACACGUGGGAACCUUCCUAGGGGUACGGAACAACACAGGGAAACUUGAGCUAAUACCGUAUACGUCCGUGAGGAGAAAGAUUUAUCGCCCUUAGACGGGCCCGCGUCGGAUUAGCUAGUUGGUGGGGUAACGGCCCACCAAGGCGACGAUCCGUAGCUGAUCUUAGAGGAUGAUCAGCCACACUGGGACUGAGACACGGCCCAGACUCCUACGGGAGGCAGCAGUGGAGAAUCUUGGACAAUGGGCGCAAGCCUGAUCCAGCCAUGCCGCGUGAGUGAAGAAGGUCUUCGGAUUGUAAAGCUCUUUUGCCAGGGACGAUAAUGACGGUACCUGGAGAAUAAGCCCCGGCAAACUUCGUGCCAGCCGCCGCGGUAA